GGCUGGUCUGAUGGUAGUGGGUUAUCAGAACUUAUUAACAUUAUUGUCACUAAAGUUGGUAUAAAAAUCGCCACUGCUAAAUUUGACUCUCUUAAA
Molecule: Y RNA, 96 nt
Organism: Callithrix jacchus (white-tufted-ear marmoset)
Lineage: Eukaryota; Metazoa; Chordata; Mammalia; Primates; Cebidae
Rfam family: Y RNA
About the family: Y RNAs are components of the Ro ribonucleoprotein particle (Ro RNP), in association with Ro60 and La proteins. The Y RNAs and Ro60 and La proteins are well conserved, but the function of the Ro RNP is not known. In humans the RNA component can be one of four small RNAs -- hY1, hY3, hY4 and hY5.
Source: Ensembl